ACCCGGCUGGCUCAGCCGAAGAGCAUGUGACUCUUGAUCUCAGGAUUGUGGGUUCGGGCCCCACAUUGGGUG
RNAcentral lists this transfer RNA (72 nucleotides) under Ailuropoda melanoleuca (giant panda). It matches the Rfam family "tRNA". Rfam says of the family: Transfer RNA (tRNA) molecules are approximately 80 nucleotides in length. Their secondary structure includes four short double-helical elements and three loops (D, anti-codon, and T loops). Further hydrogen bonds mediate the characteristic L-shaped molecular structure. tRNAs have two regions of fundamental functional importance: the anti-codon, which is responsible for specific mRNA codon recognition, and the 3' end, to which the tRNAs corresponding amino acid is attached (by aminoacyl-tRNA synthetases). tRNAs cope with the degeneracy of the genetic code in two manners: having more than one tRNA (with a specific anti-codon) for a particular amino acid; and 'wobble' base-pairing, i.e. permitting non-standard base-pairing at the 3rd anti-codon position. The record is from Rfam by way of RNAcentral. Lineage: Eukaryota; Metazoa; Chordata; Mammalia; Carnivora; Ursidae.